RNAcentral lists this ribosomal RNA (460 nucleotides) under uncultured bacterium. RNAcentral's name for it is "partial 16S ribosomal RNA". It matches the Rfam family "Bacterial small subunit ribosomal RNA", at positions 338 to 795 of the family's 1533-position model. The record is from RNAcentral.
CCUACGGGGGGCAGCAGUGAGGAAUAUUGGUCAAUGGACGAGAGUCUGAACCAGCCAAGUAGCGUGAAGGAUGACUGCCCUAUGGGUUGUAAACUUCUUUUAUAAAGGAAUAAAACGAGGCACGUGUGCCUUUUUGCAUGUACUUUAUGAAUAAGGAUCGGCUAACUCCGUGCCAGCAGCCGCGGUAAUACGGAGGAGCCGAGCGUUAUCCGGAUUUAUUGGGUUUAAAGGGAGCGUAGAUGGGUUGUUAAGUCAGUUGUGAAAGUUUGCGGCUCAACCGUAAAAUUGCAAUUGAUACUGGCAGUCGUGAGUACAGUUGAGGUAGGCGGAAUUCGUGGUGUAGCGGUGAAAUGCUUAGAUAUCACGAAGAACCCCGAUUGCGAAGGCAGCUUACUAAACUGUGACUGACAUUGAUGCUCGAAAGUGUGGGUAUCAAACAGGAUUAGAUACCCCUGUAGUC